UCUGGGCACAGUGGUGCAUACCUAUAGUACCAGCCACUCAGGAGGCUGAGGCAGGAGGAUCACUUGAGUCACAGGAAUUCUGGGUUUUAGUGCAUUAUACCAAUUGGGUGGGUAUCUGCUUUAACUUCAGCAUUAGUGCAGUGACCCCUCAGAAGCAGGGGACCACCAGGUUGCCCAAGGAGGGUGAACCGGCCCGGGUAGCAAAUAGAGCAGAUCAAAUAACUCUCCUAUGCUGAUCAGUAGUGGGAUUGCACCUGUAAAAAGCCACUACACUCCAGCCUGGACAACAUAGUGAAACCCGUCUCU
RNAcentral lists this signal recognition particle RNA (306 nucleotides) under Cercocebus atys (sooty mangabey). RNAcentral's name for it is "Metazoan signal recognition particle RNA (ENSCATG00000019273.1)". It matches the Rfam family "Metazoan signal recognition particle RNA". Rfam says of the family: The signal recognition particle (SRP) is a universally conserved ribonucleoprotein. It is involved in the co-translational targeting of proteins to membranes. Lineage: Eukaryota; Metazoa; Chordata; Mammalia; Primates; Cercopithecidae. The record is from RNAcentral.